This 476-nucleotide long non-coding RNA is filed under the name Bemisia tabaci. RNAcentral describes it as "lncRNA ENSASIAIIG001549". Lineage: Eukaryota; Metazoa; Arthropoda; Insecta; Hemiptera; Aleyrodidae. The record is from RNAcentral.
UAUUGACUGGACGCACUGGGCUUUUGGGCAGGAGGUCCUAUCCUUGUUGGGAGUCGAGGAUGGCCAAACUUCUGCAGGAGGACAUGAUCUACAUCCGAGGGCGCAGAAAGAAACUUCAGGUGGUCGAGCUGGCUUCGCAUUGGGCGACUGCGCAAAAGGUCUCGCAGCAUGGGCUAAGAAGACAGGUACUUCGUCUUUUCGCUAUCUCACAUCCAUGAAGAGCGGAUAUUACGAUGGCUCGGCAGAGGGCUCUGGAGGAACCGGUAGAGGGAUGUACAGGCAAGACCGUCCACCAACGCCCAUGCCCUACCGGCCCGCGGCAGAGUACGAGAGUUCAUCGAAACCUGAAGAAAACCGGUCUCUCAUGAGAUUAGUCAGUGCCAAAUCCGUGAAAUAUUUCAGCAAAAUUUCUCUGCCAGUCUUGGUUUCGGCAACAGGAACACCGGGUUAGUUUUUUGGAAUGGGUCACUAAACCU